Macaca mulatta (Rhesus monkey) is the source of this 147-nucleotide unclassified non-coding RNA. It matches the Rfam family "Metazoan signal recognition particle RNA". From Rfam's summary of the family: The signal recognition particle (SRP) is a universally conserved ribonucleoprotein. The record is from Ensembl. NCBI's taxonomy places the organism in Eukaryota, Metazoa, Chordata, Mammalia, Primates, Cercopithecidae.
GCUGGGUGCGGUGGUGCGCACCUGUAAUCCCAGCUACUUGGGAGGCUGAGGCAGAAGAAUCGCUUGAACUCAGGAGGCAGAGGUUGCAGUGAGCUGAGAUCACACCACUGCCUCCAACCUGGGCAAGAGAGUGAGACUCUGUCUCAA